GGGAACUGGGCUACCGUACUGAUCNGAGGUCACCUGAGAAAAUAAGGUUGGAGACGCCGGCUGGCGCCCGGCCGGCCCUAAUCGAGCGGGUGACAAAGCCCCAUACGCUCGAGGACCGGACACGGUGCCGCCGCUGCCUUUCGGGUCCGUCCCCCGGAGGGGGACGACGACCCAACACACAAGCCGGGCUUGAAGGGCAGCAAUGACGCUCGGACAGGCAUGCCCCCCGGAAUGCCAGGGGGCGCAAUGUGCGUUCAAAGACUCGAUGAUUCACUGAAUUCUGCAAUUCACAUUACUUAUCGCAGUUCGCUGCGUUCUUCAUCGAUGCCGGAACCAAGAGAUCCAUUGUUGAAAGUUUUGACUGAUUUGUAUUCAGACUCAGACUGCAUUACUCUCAGGCAUGAAGUUCAGUGGUCCCCGGCGGCUCGCCCCCUGGGGGGCUCCCCGCCGAACCAACCGGGUUCGGCAACCAUGGGUGGGAGGUGUGGACCUCGGAUCGGGUAGGGAUACCCGCAAGAACUCAAUCAUAUCAAUAAGCGAGAAGAAGCCGCGCGNUCCGGGUGCUAUUUNUUUGGGNUUGUGCUUGUCGCGGUGUUUGCGGCGGUUUGCCCUGUUGUGUCUGUCGUUGGUUGUCUUUGUUUUUUUUUCUUNUGCCUUUUUCCUGUUGUGCCCCUUAGGUGUGUGUGUCGUGUUUGGCGGUGGGUUCCCUUGUCUUCUGGGUGCGUGAUUGGUGCUGUGGAGUUGGUGCGU
Molecule: unclassified non-coding RNA, 750 nt
Filed under: Aspergillus fruticulosus
Lineage: Eukaryota; Fungi; Ascomycota; Eurotiomycetes; Eurotiales; Aspergillaceae
Description: sequence contains ITS1, 5.8S rRNA gene and ITS2
Source: RNAcentral